AGAACUUAGCAGAGAUGCUUUGGUGCCCUUCGGGAACUCUGAGACAGGUGCUGCAUGGCUGUCGUCAGCUCGUGUUGUGAAAUGUUGGGUUAAGUCCCGCAACGAGCGCAACCCUUAUCCUUUGUUGCCAGCGGUUAGGCCGGGAACUCAAAGGAGACUGCCAGUGAUAAACUGGAGGAAGGUGGGGAUGACGUCAAGUCAUCAUGGCCCUUACGAGUAGGGCUACACACGUGCUACAAUGGCGCAUACAAAGAGAAGCGACCUCGCGAGAGCAAGCGGACCUCAUAAAGUGCGUCGUAGUCCGGAUUGGAGUCUGCAACUCGACUCCAUGAAGUCGGAAUCGCUAGUAAUCGUGGAUCAGAAUGCCACGGUGAAUACGUUCCCGGGCCUUGUACACACCGCCCGUCACACCAUGGGAGUGGGUUGCAAAAGAAGUAGGUAGCUUAACCUUCGGGAGGGCGCUUACCACUUUGUGAUUCAUGACUGGGGUGAAGUCGUAACAAGGUAGGCGUAGUGCU
This 518-nucleotide ribosomal RNA is filed under the name uncultured bacterium. Its description in RNAcentral is "bacterial SSU rRNA". It matches the Rfam family "Bacterial small subunit ribosomal RNA", at positions 992 to 1509 of the family's 1533-position model. The record is from RNAcentral.